Molecule: long non-coding RNA, 791 nt
Organism: Oenanthe melanoleuca
Lineage: Eukaryota; Metazoa; Chordata; Aves; Passeriformes; Muscicapidae
Exons: 6
Source: RefSeq, a predicted model, not a curated record
UGGAAGAAGAUUACCCCUCUGUAACCAUUCUCAAAACCUUCUACUUUGUUAGCCAAAAAAUAAUCUCAGGAGGACAGCAGCACUCCAGUGUCUCCCCAGCAGCUUCGGUCACCUGAGAAAAGUUCUGUCAGUGGGAUUAUUUCUCUGCUGGUAAACUUCCCACCUGACAUUCAUUUACAUGAUUGAAAUGUAGACUUCAGAUGCCUGACUCCAUUCCUUUCUUCACUGCUUGACUCCCUGUGUAGCCAUGGCUCCCAUGGGGAAGAUGUGUGAGGUGAACACCAGAAGGAAGCACCAGCACAGGAGUUAACCACAUGACUAGCUAAAGGUCUGAAGAGGAUUUGCAAGCAAAGGGAGAAGGAAAAAGUGGGAAAGUACUGUGGAUAUUUCUCAAAACAAGUUGACCAUUAUGGAUUUCGUGUUAUCAAAGCCAUGGUUGCAACUCUAGGCUGUUUGGACUCCAAAUCAUCUCAUAUUCUUCAGAUUCUCUGGAAUGAGUUAGCAGAACAGCUUUUACUGAAAAAAAAAUCCAGCUGACUGAAGAAAAGCCCUCAGAUGGGACUUUCUUCUGCAGGCAAACAGAUUUCAAAAUAUGAAAAUUCUCUGAGAGAGAAUCCUUCCUUUUUCCACAUAGCACUAUUUCCAAGGUAACCUGGCCACAAAGAGUACUUCAAAGAGAUUGGAUGGUGCUGUUUGUUUGAAAUAAAAGCACAAUCAAUAAGGAUAUCUAAGCAUGAAGUGAAACUGCAUAGCCAUGUUGAAGAUCUUUAAAUAACCACUGAAUACUUCUG